Molecule: ribosomal RNA, 253 nt
Filed under: uncultured bacterium
Lineage: Bacteria
Description: partial 16S ribosomal RNA
Rfam family: Bacterial small subunit ribosomal RNA
Source: RNAcentral
UACGGAGGGGGCAAGCGUUGUUCGGAAUUACUGGGCGUAAAGGGCGCGUAGGCGGCCAGUUGCGUCGGGUGUGAAAGCCCCGGGCUCAACCUGGGAGGUGCACUUGAUACGGGCUGGCUGGAAUCCGGGAGAGGAUGGUGGAAUUCCCAGUGUAGAGGUGAAAUUCGUAGAUAUUGGGAAGAACACCGAUGGCGAAGGCAGCCAUCUGGACCGGGAUUGACGCUGAGGCGCGAAAGCGUGGGGAGCAAACAGG